CGCAUUGGCCUCCCAAAGGGCUGGGAUUACAGGCAGGAGUCACAGCGUCCGGCCUGCUUCAUUCAAAAUUAGAAUUAGCGUUUGUGCAAUUGAUCUUUCAAGUAAGAUUGAUCAUUUGCUGCAUGUUUGAAAGACAGCAUUUUGUAUGUAAGCAUGACACUUUGGACUGGUAGGUAACCUAUACAGAGAUUGGAUUUUCAGAUAUGUAGACUGGAUUUUCAGAAAUAAUUUUACCAAAUUUCAUGUUUUCAAACUUACUCAGGUUACGUGUAUAGCAGCUUGUUUAACUGCGCAAGAAAGCCGUGCGCGCCUGUUUUUGCAGCUGCUGGGGAAGACUGAAACAGGAAAAUCCCCUGAGGCCAGAAGUUCGAUAACUACUGUACCCCAGCCUGGGCAACAAAGCAAGACUUUGUCUCUGGGGGGAAAAAAAAAGAAAAAAGACACCAUAGUGGCAUCAUUAGUGCCAAACCCUUAAAGGCAGGAGCUAGUUUACGUUAUUUACCUUUUAAUCUGUAGAGCAUUUUUAAGUUUUAUUUCAGUCGUGUCACCAAGCAUACUAGGAAAGGACAUACUGAAUGAGAUCAUCCAAAGGGGUGUGGAGUAUGUAGAUAAGCGCAGUGACUGCUGGCUAUUUGCACCCUAGGCUUAUAUUUCUUAAGAUUUUGAAUAGCCAGAUAUUAAAAAUACAGGUGCUGGGUUAUUGUAGUUUGGAAAAUAUCUUUAUUCCAGAAAUUAGGGGGUCUAAAGAGCACAUGAGAAAAAUGAUCCUAUAUUUAGAGUGGUUUGAAUCUAAGGGUGAACUCUCAGGCAGCGCUGGGGACUCAUACUUAACUGGCAAGGGAAAUAACAUGAUCAUUAAAGGUGGAUUUUUCAGGGUGAGGUUUGUCUCUUGCAUUGUGGAUGUGCUGACCCCUGUGGUUUUCUACAAAUGUGGGAAACUUAAUUGCAUAAUUUGUGGUAGUGGGGACUAUGUUGGUUCUCUCCCCUGAUCUGGCUUGUUUAUAAAAGGCGUACGUUGUAUCUUUGCUUCGUAGGUUUUCCUGUGUUAUAUUGUAACCUCCUGUUUUGGAAUAGCGAGAGAUUGAUGCCUUCUAAUGGUCAUUUUUUUCUCCACACACGCUUUUGGUCUCACACCCCUCGUGGUUGGUGUUGUCAUUGAGUACUACAGUGAUUUGCCAUUACAAUCAGAAGUACGCAGUUGAAUACCUUUGGCGGCUCUAAGGGAGUGUUACCUUCACAUUUUCCUUGUUUGUAGCCCUUUCCUUUUCAAAGCUAACAAUUUAGCAUCUUCUGACUUUUCUUCUGUCUUUAUAUCUUUUUGUGGACCUCCAGAGUCCUUCUGUUUUUUUUCUUUUCUUGGAGACGGCGUUUCGCUCUUGUAGCCCAGGCUGGAGUACAAUGGCGCAAUCUCAGCUCACAGC
This 1421-nucleotide long non-coding RNA is filed under the name Homo sapiens (human). RNAcentral describes it as "HSALNT0243200". The stretch from base 824 to 987 matches the Rfam family "U1 spliceosomal RNA". The record is from RNAcentral. Lineage: Eukaryota; Metazoa; Chordata; Mammalia; Primates; Hominidae.